Molecule: long non-coding RNA, 1491 nt
Filed under: Trifolium pratense (red clover)
Lineage: Eukaryota; Viridiplantae; Streptophyta; Magnoliopsida; Fabales; Fabaceae
Description: long non-coding RNA (TPRA_LNC007420)
Source: RNAcentral
AUGAAUCCAAUCCAACAUUACAUGAAGAAACUUUCCUUGACCCUUCAAAAUCUAGUGAUUCAAUUUCCGAAUUUUCUCCUGUUCAGGUACCUGUUGAAAGUACAAAAGUAAGUAUAUUUUUAUCGUCUCCACAGGGACUGGUGCGAUAUCGAUAUCGUUCAACAAUUAAUAUAAUUUCAAGUAAAAGAUUUCAAAGAUGGUUGAUUACGAAAGUUGCGAAUACAUGAAAGUAGUAAAGAUGAUUAAUUUGACCGAGAGAUUAAAUUGCUGGGAUUAGAUUUCAAUUACUCAUUCAUACAUAUUCCCCUAAUCAGUUACGCAGGUUCUAGUCAUCUAUUAAUAUUAUCACGUAUCGCUCGUCGAACGUUUUCGUGUCCAGAUAACGCCGAGAUAUCUAUUGCAUCUAUUAACCUCCGAUGUCUCGGAUCGUCAAUCAAUACAAUAGCAUUAAGAUUCGAUAUUCUAAGUGAAUAUUAAACCUAAAUCUAUGUCUAGAAUUUAGAGUUCAAUAGAUAUUAUCCUAGUUCUUAGAUUCAAAAGGCAUAUGUCUAUAACAAUUCAAAUCAAAGAUUAAAACAAUGAAAACAAAGAUAACAUCAAUAUUGAGAGAUAACUAAAAUCAUAUAUAAAACCAUGAUCAAUAGAAACAUAUACUAAUAGAGUAAUUUACACCUAAUCCCAACAAAAGUGUCUUUAGCUACUCAUUACCAUGGUAACUUUACACAAGUGAGAAGAAAAGAGAUGAAAUAACAACACCGGUGUCGAUUUCUCGAACGGUUGGCGUGCAUCCCACCUUUGCCUUGCUCUCCUCUCUGUUUUGCGUUCAGCCCUCCCUGUUUCUUUUUUGUUUUGGGCGUGUGUGUGUUCUGUAUGGAAUGAAUUGAAUGAUUUUCACAAUGGGUGAUGCAAUGCUUAUAUAGGCUUGAAAAGUAACUAUCGAUGGUAAGCCACUUGUAGAAGGAAGGCGGUUUGAUGAUGUCUUUUUUACUGAUUAAGUUAAGCCAACAUUAGUAGCUAAGAAUCAAAGAGUCAAACAUUGCAGCAUAUGGUCCAAUAAAAACUCCUCAUCACUUUAUACAAUAGGACAAAUUGUGCCUCUUCAUGGUUUUGGUCCAAUGAUAAUUUUUCUUUGCAUCCAAGUAUGUAGUUCUACUUACUUCCAUUUUUCCAUUAAGCUCAUAAAAUCUAUAAAGGUGAGGGAAAAUAGGUGAGAGUAGCUAAAAUACUAAUUUACUAGUAAAUAUUAAUAUUUAAAAAUAAUUGGGGUUUUUACAUAAAAUGACUUAUAAAACAAGUCAAUAAGUGCUUAAAAUAAAUAGGUAAAAUCACUGUUUUUGAGCACUUAUCAGUACCAGAAUCUAGCUCAACCUUACAAGAACCCAACACGAUAAAACAUAAAAAACCAAAAAUCAAGAGAAGUAACGCCAAUACACUCUAAAGACUCGCAUCUCCCAAUUGCCCAUAGGAAAGAAACUAGAACCUGCACCAACA